AGAGUGAACGCUGGCGGCAGGCCUAACACAUGCAGGUCGAACGGCAGCACAGCAGAGCUUGCUCUGUGGGUGGCGAGUGGCGGACGGGUGAGGAAUACGUCGGAAUCUGCCUUUUUGNGGGGGAUAACGUAGGGAAACUUACGCUAAUACCGCAUACGACCUACGGGUGAAAGCGGAGGACCUUCGGGCUUCGCGCAGAAAGAUGAGCCGACGUCGGAUUAGCUAGUUGGAGGGUAAUGGCCC
This 243-nucleotide ribosomal RNA is filed under the name uncultured soil bacterium. RNAcentral describes it as "partial 16S ribosomal RNA". It matches the Rfam family "Bacterial small subunit ribosomal RNA", at positions 26 to 266 of the family's 1533-position model. The record is from RNAcentral.